GAUGAACGCUAGCUACAGGCUUAACACAUGCAAGUCGAGGGGAAACGGCAUUAAGUGCUUGCACUUUUUGGACGUCGACCGGCGCACGGGUGAGUAACGCGUAUCCAACCUUCCCAUGACUAAGGGAUAACCUGCCGAAAGGCAGACUAAUACCUUAUGGUCUUCACUGACGGCAUCAGAUGUGAAGUAAAGAUUUAUCGGUUAUGGAUGGGGGUGCGUCUGAUUAGCUUGUUGGCGGGGUAACGGCCCACCAAGGCAACGAUCAGUAGGGGUUCUGAGAGGAAGGUCCCCCACAUUGGAACUGAGACACGGUCCAAACUCCUACGGGAGGCAGCAGUGAGGAAUAUUGGUCAAUGGGCGAGAGCCUGAACCAGCCAAGUAGCGUGCAGGAUGACGGCCCUAUGGGUUGUAAACUGCUUUUGUAUGGGGAUAAAGUCAAUCACGUGUGAUUGUUUGCAGGUACCAUACGAAUAAGGACCGGCUAAUUCCGUG
This 492-nucleotide ribosomal RNA is filed under the name uncultured bacterium. RNAcentral's name for it is "partial 16S ribosomal RNA". It matches the Rfam family "Bacterial small subunit ribosomal RNA", at positions 28 to 507 of the family's 1533-position model. The record is from RNAcentral.